CCUACGGGGGGCAGCAGUGGGGAAUAUUGGACAAUGGGGGGAACCCUGAUCCAGCCAUGCCGCGUGUGUGAAGAAGGCCCUCGGGUUGUAAAGCACUUUCAGUGAGGAAGAACGCCUGGUGGUUAAUACCCAUCAGGAAAGACAUCACUCACAGAAGAAGCACCGGCUAACUCCGUGCCAGCAGCCGCGGUAAUACGGAGGGUGCGAGCGUUAAUCGGAAUUACUGGGCGUAAAGCGCGCGUAGGUGGCUUGAUAAGCCGGUUGUGAAAGCCCCGGGCUCAACCUGGGAACGGCAUCCGGAACUGUCAAGCUAGAGUGCAGGAGAGGAAGGUAGAAUUCCCGGUGUAGCGGUGAAAUGCGUAGAGAUCGGGAGGAAUACCAGUGGCGAAGGCGGCCUUCUGGACUGACACUGACACUGAGGUGCGAAAGCGUGGGUAGCAAACGGGAUUAGAUACCCCAGUAGUC
Molecule: ribosomal RNA, 465 nt
Filed under: Vreelandella stevensii
Lineage: Bacteria; Pseudomonadati; Pseudomonadota; Gammaproteobacteria; Oceanospirillales; Halomonadaceae
Description: partial 16S ribosomal RNA
Rfam family: Bacterial small subunit ribosomal RNA
Source: RNAcentral